GUCAACUAUUUAAUUACAAUCCAAAUUUAGAGCUGAAUCCAGCUUGAAUGUUGUGUCCAUACUUGCCCACCGUUCAGGGUUCAACCUCUGCGGUCGUAUAAAGCUGCGCCCUGUGGAGCAUCUGGUUUGAGUUCUAAAAAAAACAAGACUUCACUUAUAUCUUUUGUUGUUCCUAGAAUACUUUAAGUAUUUACAAAUUCAACUGAUGCAGUUAUAACGUAAAACGUGCCCUUUUGUAAAUUUCAUGCCAUAAAUUGAAAAAUAAAAACACAUUUAAACUGGUCUUGUUUACACAAGAGGUGAAAGCAGGGAAUUCACGUAUCCAACAUUUUCUGACUUGUGCCCAACCUGUUCGAAGUCGAAGACAAAGUAGAUUGAUUUCAAAGCACGAUUCAGACCAUUUUUACUCAAAGAUUUUAUCCUUUAAACAGGAACAGAGGUAAAAGACAAAGCCAAUCAAGGUGCACUCAGUGGGUUGAAAGAUGCUUCAGAUUUUUUAUUUUCAAACAUCACCCUUGCACACAACACAAAUCGUGUAGCAAGGCAGUUUAUUUUCCUUGAUUCCGAAUCAUAUAGACGCUUCAAUGCAAAAAUGCCUUGAUUUAAAACGCUUGUUGAUUACAGCAUCGGAAAGGAUAUGACAAAAAACCAACGCACGUUUACUACAGCAUCGGAAAGAUAUCACCAAAAACCAACAUAGCAAAACAAAAAAUUUUGGACAAGAAUGGGCAAUAAAAUUUUUCAAGUCACGGUGA
This 755-nucleotide long non-coding RNA is filed under the name Mytilus galloprovincialis (Mediterranean mussel). The record is from RNAcentral. Lineage: Eukaryota; Metazoa; Mollusca; Bivalvia; Mytilida; Mytilidae.